CGGUUUUCCUUUCCAAACAUCCAACAAAAACACUCCCAGGGGUGAGCUUUCCGGCGACACCUACUUUCAGAUCCGACGUUUAUGACCCAGUGGCAUGUGAGGAAGCUAUCGGUAAUAAUGCUACAUGGAAUUCGGUUUCGCUCUCCAAACAACAAAUUAGAAACUGUGUUAGAUGUCAAUACUAACAUCCAUUUCUUCAUUUUGAAGCUUCUACCACGGAUUGCAUGUACAUGUAUAUCUAUUUGUGUGACACCCAGCAAUUUAACAGGGUAAUCCGUACACUUUAACUGAACCA
This is a long non-coding RNA of Helianthus annuus (common sunflower), 295 nucleotides long. RefSeq lists it as uncharacterized. NCBI's taxonomy places the organism in Eukaryota, Viridiplantae, Streptophyta, Magnoliopsida, Asterales, Asteraceae. The record is from RefSeq and is a predicted model, not a curated record. The transcript has 2 exons.